Molecule: ribosomal RNA, 378 nt
Filed under: uncultured eukaryote
Lineage: Eukaryota
Description: SSU rRNA
Rfam family: Eukaryotic small subunit ribosomal RNA
Source: RNAcentral
AGCUCCAAUAGCGUAUAUUAAAGUUGUUGCGGUUAAAAGCUCGUAGUUGGAUUUCUGUUAGGGGUAGCAGGUCCGCAUUAUGUGCGUGUAUCUGGUGGCCUUGGCAUCUUUUCAGGGAUCGUAUCUGCGAUUCAGUUCGUGGUGCGGAACUUGAAACUUUUACUUUGAGGAAAUUAGAGUGUUCACGGCAGGCAAACGCCUUGAAUAUAUUAGCAUGGAAUAAUAAUAUAGGAUCUUGGGUCUAUUUUGUUGGUUUCUAGAGCUAAGAUAAUGAUUAAUAGGGACAAUUGGGGGCAUUCGUAUUAACACGUCAGAGGUGGAAUUCUUGGAUUGUGUUACGACGAACUACUGCGAAAGCAUUUGCCAAGGAUGUUUUCA